Molecule: non-coding RNA, 109 nt
Organism: Acanthosepion pharaonis
Lineage: Eukaryota; Metazoa; Mollusca; Cephalopoda; Sepiida; Sepiidae
Source: the annotation of a GenBank genome assembly
UUACGGCAAUAUCACAUUGAAACAGCGGUUCUCGUACGAUCACCGAAGUUAAGCAACGUUGAGCCUAGUCAAUACACAGAUAGCCUUUGGGAAUACCAGGUGCUGCAAG